Molecule: long non-coding RNA, 2308 nt
Organism: Dama dama (fallow deer)
Lineage: Eukaryota; Metazoa; Chordata; Mammalia; Artiodactyla; Cervidae
Exons: 3
Source: RefSeq, a predicted model, not a curated record
UUUAGGACUGUCAGAGUGAUUAAUGAGAGCUAGCCGUCUUUGCAAAUGCACUUGUUUAGUCUAACUGGCAGCUUCUAUUUUCCUAUUGAUUUAUUGCAGCCGUUGCCGGGCCUCGGUGUGUGCAGUCAGGGCACUUCACAACUGUGCCCUGUUUAAACAGGAAAAGCAUGCACCGUUUUUGUCCGGGAGGGAGCGAGCAGCCGAAAGUCUCUCCCCUCAGCGCAGUCUCCAGGGCCCCAAACCAACAAAGAAGACAUUAAAAACCUGCAGCCCAGAGGGAGAAGGAAACUGCCUCCCCUCGGUCGUCCCCAGUUCCAAGGUCAGCGGAGGCGCACCCUGGCCCCUGGACAAAGCCCGCCCUAUUGUCAGACUCAGCAUGCCCGCAUCCUCUCCUCCCGUCCCCCCAAACCAGCUGUCAGCCACGGAGUCCAAGGACAGGAAAGGCACCCAGCAGAGGGGGGAGGCCGGGGAGGGGGCCGAUGGGCUCGGCCAAGCUAAAAACAGAAUUGAAGCCGCCCUGCCGUCAGGGGUGGGAACAAUGUCAGGGGGGUUGUGGGAAAUUGAUGGAGCCCCAUGGUUCAUUUGGGGGCUUCCCUGGUGGCUCAGAUGGUAAAGAAUCCGCCUGCCAAUGCAGGAGACCCAGGUUCGAUCCCUGGGACGGGAGGAUCCCCUGGAGAAGGGAAUGGCAACCCACUCCAGUAUUCCUGCCUGGGAAAUCCCAUGGACAGAGGAGCCUGGCGGGCUACAGUCCAUGGGGUCACAAAAGAGUCGGACACGACUUAGUAACCAAACCACCACAACAUGGUUGAUUUCAACUUUUAAAAAGUAGGCGAUAUUGACUUCAUUCCACUUGCACAGUUUGUUUUGACAAAUGAUGUACCUAAUGACCAGCACAGAAAUGGCAACUUGAAAAUACAGACCUGGUGUUGGAGAGUCAGACUUCCAGGAGGUGGAUCACCAAGGCAAACAGAGGUUACGGGAUUCCUGUUAUGUGACCAGUGCAACGCCGGAUGCCAGGAGACACAGAAGAAGACUCAGACCAGAUUUCUGCCCAGUUUAGUUGGGGGAGACAAGACACAGUCACGAGAUGGGGAAUGAGAUAGAAUUCUAUACCACUGCAUUUAUGCUGAUCUGGUAAGCGUUCAGUUGUGCAGUGCAGACAGUGGGGAACUUGACCAUUUAUAAUAAGGGGCUAGUUGUGCAGAUCAGCGGUUGGGCUGCAGCAGCUGGAGGGAGAGCUUGCUGGGGCUCCCUUCCCAUGGGAGCCCUGACCUGUUGGGAGGCUCCCCAGUUCCCCUCAGUCCUGUCCUCUUCUGAAAGCUGGAAGAUGGAUGAGGCCUUCAUUCCAUGGUGAUGAGCAGGCUGAGCCAGAGCUCCAAGCCAGCAGAUCAAAGGACAGGCUCCCUGGAGUUCCCUGGGGGCCUAGUGGUUAGGAUUUGCUGCUUUCACUGCAGAGGCCUGGAUUCGAUCCCUGGUCCGGGAACCAUCCCCUUGGAAUACAAGGAACAGGCUUCCCUUAACCAGCUUGCACCUUCCAGAGCUGGAAAUGGUUUAUGCUUCUUCCUAGAUGAAGUGCCUUUAUAAGUUUUCCCAGGGGCAGUGGCCUAUCGCCAGCUUUAUUAACACUUCCCAAGACAGGAAAAGCUGUCGGUGGGUUUGGAUCACAGAGGCGCUGGGAAACCUCUUAAGAGAAAAGAAACGGAACCUGCCAGCCGAGUGGAAAUGAAGUGACUACAUGAUUCAAAACGGAGACCUAGGGUGUGAGUGUCCUCUGGUAGCUUGAGGGGGUAGAUGAAAGACUCUCCCCUCAGCGCAGUCUCCAGGGCCCCAAACCAACAAAGAAGACAUUCAAAACCUGCAGUCCAGAGAGAGAAGGAAACUGCCUCCCCCCGGUCAUCCCCAGAUUCAAGGUCAACAGAGGCACACCCUGGCCCCUGUUCCCAUCAGGACAGUAAAUGUGGAAGAUCCAGAAAAAGAAACCAUGUGAUUUCACCUCCGUGAUGGAGGGCCAGUGGAGGGUCCACAAGAAGAAUACUGUAAUGUGAACUUGCCAUCCAGGGAAAGAAGGAAGCAUUAAAAUACUUUGUUCAUUUGACAAAAUGCUGAGGAUACAGUGAUGCCGGUAUUUCAGAGGCUGCUUGGAUGCUUAACCUACAGCCAAUUGCUUUUGGAAAAUGGAACUGGCGAGGGAAGAAAUGAAAGGCAGAGGAAAAUCAAACUACAGUGGGGGACCUUUGCUCUGAGUGGGCGGUGGGGAUCUCCACCGCUCUUUGGAACAUAAAAUAAAAUGAUCCUCCUGGAGCUUAAA